UACAGAGGUCUCAAGCGUUGUUCGGAUUCAUUGGGCGUAAAGGGUGCGUAGGCGGCGCGGUAAGUCGGGUGUGAAAUCUCGGAGCUUAACUCCGAAACUGCAUUCGAUACUGGCGUGCUUGAGGACUGGAGAGGAGACUGGAAUUUACGGUGUAGCGGUGAAAUGCGUAGAUAUCGGAAGGAAGACCAGUGGCGAAGGCGGGUCUCUGGACAGUUCCUGACGCUGAGGCACGAAGGCCAGGGGAGCAAACGGG
Molecule: ribosomal RNA, 253 nt
Filed under: uncultured bacterium
Lineage: Bacteria
Description: partial 16S ribosomal RNA
Rfam family: Bacterial small subunit ribosomal RNA
Source: RNAcentral